UGGCGGCGCGUUUUAAGCAUGCAAGUCGAGCGGCAAGCUAACUUCGGUUAGCCUAGAGCGGCGGACGGGUGAGUAACACGUGGAUAAUCUACCCUUUUGUCUGGGAUAGCCUGUGGAAACAUGGGGUAAUACCGGAUAAUAUUUCUUAAUCAUAAGGUUUAGAAAUGAAAGGCGCCUCAAAGCGCUGCAGAAGGAUGAGUCCCCGUCCCAUUAGCUAGACGGUAAGGUAAAAGCUUACCCGUGGCGAUGAUGGGUAACCCGCCCUGAGAGGGUGAUCGCCCACAUUGGAACUGAGACACGGUCCAGACUCCUACGGGGGGCAGCAGCUAAGAAUCUUCCNCAAUGGACGAAAGUCUGACGGAGCGACACCGCGUGAACGAUGAAGGCCGUGAGGUUGUAAAGUUCUUUUCGAGAGGAGGAAUAAUGUCUGCAGGGAAUGGUAGACAGAUGACGUUAAUCUCGGAAUAAGCCCCGGCUAACUACGU
RNAcentral lists this ribosomal RNA (485 nucleotides) under wall-less spirochete. Its description in RNAcentral is "bacterial SSU rRNA". It matches the Rfam family "Bacterial small subunit ribosomal RNA", at positions 37 to 506 of the family's 1533-position model. The record is from RNAcentral. Lineage: Bacteria; Pseudomonadati; Spirochaetota; Spirochaetia; Spirochaetales; Spirochaetaceae.